UUAUAUAUCACAAUUAGUAUUUACAUUCUUAUAUAUAUAUAUAAAUAUCAUAAACUUCAUGAAAGGCGUAGAUCUGUGUAACUAUACUAAUGGGAUAGUGCAUCAUCCAAACAAGUCUCAAACCAACUAGUACAAAAGCAAUGUUAUAAGACCUAAAUUGUCAUCAUAUCAUUCGGCCACCACCACUAGACUAGAAAAUAAAUUUCUAAAUAUUUUUGCUAUCGAGAAGAUUUGAAUCUAGGAGUUCCCAAAAUGAUUUCCACAAGGGUAUCACUAAACUAAAGACGUCUCGGCUAAAAAACAUGACUUGGGAUUGCGUAGAAUAAGAUUUUUAUAAUUCAUAUCUGUUGAUUCAUACAUAUAGUUGAAGUCUAGUAGCUUCAAUAGUAAUCGGGAACGAUGAUGGAGAAACGUAAACUAGGGACUACCACUACCAUUACCACCACCGCCUUUUCCACUGAUUGAUCCCCCAAAAUUUAUGUUACUAUUCCUAUAGGUACUCCUCAACCUCCUCGAUUCUGCAAAAGAAAAUAAAGUGUGUCAAUAAAAUAGGAGUGCAUGCAGUCAAAAAAUAAAUUUUUUUCUAAAAUACAAUGGUAACUCACUUGAUAAAAUAUUCUAUUUUAAAAUGGUAUAAAUUCACAAAAGCAUAAUAGGUUUUGAUGUUCUAAGCUUCAUAAGACUCAAAGAAUGAUAAUAUAUAUGUACAGGAAAAAAGGAAAGAAGAAAAUCCUAUAUUAGUGGCUAAAAAGUUUUUUUAAUCAAAGUAACAAAUAUUUUGGUCUGGCUUCAAAUAUAUGUACUAGUAUUUUUGAAGUACAUUUUUAGUGGGUGGAGC
This 838-nucleotide long non-coding RNA is filed under the name Arabidopsis lyrata. RNAcentral's name for it is "long non-coding RNA (ALYR_LNC000411)". Lineage: Eukaryota; Viridiplantae; Streptophyta; Magnoliopsida; Brassicales; Brassicaceae. The record is from RNAcentral.